Molecule: long non-coding RNA, 1295 nt
Filed under: Brachypodium distachyon (stiff brome)
Lineage: Eukaryota; Viridiplantae; Streptophyta; Magnoliopsida; Poales; Poaceae
Description: long non-coding RNA (BDIS_LNC003915)
Source: RNAcentral
UUUCUCAAUGUAGUACUGCAAGUAGUAGUUGGGGUUUUGCUACGUCGGGGUUUUGUGGAGAAAUUAAUUCAAAGAUUUUUUUUCUGUUUGUAACUAGUUUAAUGUUUUGGAAAGUGUGAAGUUGUGUGCUCGGCUGCUUGCCUGGUUUAGAAUGAGUGUUUCCACACAUGUUAGUAAGUGGUAGUACUACAAAUAGUAGUAGAGAUGCAUGAUGCAGUCUUUUUUUGUCAAGCUUAGAGUUUAUAUGCUUUCGUUAAUAAUGUCUGGUAGUAGAGAAGAUGUAGACCCCUUUUGUUUUGGAAGCUUUGAUUUGAUAUGCUUACCCUUUUUUUCUUGUCGAAAAUAGACAAUAUGUUCUAGUUCUCCAAAUGGCUCCUGAUUACAAUUAUCAAGUUACAUCCAGUCGGAAUCAAUGUCUAUAAAUAUCACCGCUGGAUAAAUGAUCUACCAAGCCAGAUGCCUCAACAUGCAACCUAAUGCAAACUUUCUUUAUUUAUGUUGUGUCAGGAAAUAUAAAUUGAGUGUUGUAUUGGAUGACUUCACUUGGAAGCGUGAAGACGGCUCAUCUUUCAAGGCGGGUGGCGGAAAAUUUAACCUUGGGAGAGACAUUGACAUCACAACAUUCACCUGGUGAAGGCUCUAGGAUGAAAUGGAGGGCCGUGAUACGAUUUCGAGCAGUGACGUGGUUGAAGUUAAGAUUUGUGAAUGUAUAGAUAUCAAUGUCAAGGAAUCUCGGUGAUUUAGUAUUUCCACAACAAGAUAUUGUCCCACCUACCAAGGUGGUGGAGAAAACUAGAAUGGCAAGUGAGGUGCAAGUUUACAAGCCAGAUGCAACUUAACAAUAACAAUGUUUUUUUUUUCAUUCUUGCUUCACUUGAGAACACACUGAACAACUGUUAUUCUUUUUCUUUUUUAUCUUGUUCAGGACAUGAGUGUUGAGGACACAGGCAUCUAAUCGCACUAAAUCCUAACUCUAUAUGUUUGCAUCUUUUCUACUUUCCUAUAUACAUAUGCAAAUCCUAAUCAUAUAUGUUUGCAUCAUUCGUACUUUCCUGUAUGCAAUAUAUAGAAGCAAAAAAUCGAUGAUAUAACAUGUAAGAAGACUAGAAAAAAGAGUUCCAAAGGUAUCGUCUAUCACUUGGAUUAGUUGUAUAUAUAUUAUGUAUCUUGGAUUAGCUUUAGAAUUUUGAAAUUCAUACAUGUAUCUGAUUAGUAUCUUGGAUUAGCUAUAUAUGUAUUAUGUAUCUUGGGUUAGCUUUAGAAUUUAGAAAUUCAUACAAGUAUAUGAUUAGUAU